RNAcentral lists this non-coding RNA (201 nucleotides) under Hyphomicrobiales bacterium. Lineage: Bacteria; Pseudomonadati; Pseudomonadota; Alphaproteobacteria; Hyphomicrobiales. The record is from RNAcentral.
CCUAAUCCUCGCCGCGACGGUUCCCUCACGGGAUCAAAAGGGAACGCGGUGCGGACGGAUUUCCGCCCCAUGCCGCGGCUGCCCCCGCAACUGUAAGCGGCGAGCCUUUCGCCAUACGCCACUGGGGCCUCGGACCUGGGAAGGCGGCGUGAAGGCACCGACCCGCGAGCCAGGAGACCUGCCGUCAGCCGUGGUCACACG